CAAUAGCGUAUAUUAAAGUUGUUGCGGUAAAAAAGCUCGUAGUUGGAUUUCUACCGAAGAUAGCCGGUCGGGUCUUCGACCUUGUAUCUGGUUUUGUCUUUGGUAUCCUCAUAGGGAACGUUUCUGCGCUUUAUUGCGUGGUGCGGUAUCUAUGACUUUUACUUUGAGGAAAUUAGAGUGUUCACGGCAGGCAAACGCCUUGAAUAUAUUAGCAUGGAAUAAUAACAUAGGAUCUUCGUCCUAUUUUGUUGGUUUCUAGGGCUAAGAUAAUGAUUAAUAGGGAUAAUUGGGGGCAUCUGUAUCAACGCGUCAGAGGUGGAAUUCUUGGAUUGUGUUGCGACAAACUACUGCGAAAGCAUUUGCCAAGGAUGUUUUCAUUGA
RNAcentral lists this ribosomal RNA (381 nucleotides) under uncultured eukaryote. Its description in RNAcentral is "partial 18S ribosomal RNA". It matches the Rfam family "Eukaryotic small subunit ribosomal RNA", at positions 592 to 976 of the family's 1831-position model. The record is from RNAcentral.